This 459-nucleotide ribosomal RNA is filed under the name uncultured bacterium. Its description in RNAcentral is "partial 16S ribosomal RNA". It matches the Rfam family "Bacterial small subunit ribosomal RNA", at positions 338 to 795 of the family's 1533-position model. The record is from RNAcentral.
CCUACGGGUGGCAGCAGUGAGGAAUAUUGGUCAAUGGCCGGAAGGCUGAACCAGCCAAGUCGCGUGAGGGAGGAAGGCGCUGAGCGUCGUAGACCUCUUUUGUCGGGGGAUAAAAGGCGGGACUUGUCCCGUCCUGUGUGUACCCGGAGAAAAAGCAUCGGCUAACUCCGUGCCAGCAGCCGCGGUAAUACGGAGGAUGCGAGCGUUAUCCGGAUUUAUUGGGUUUAAAGGGUGCGAAGGCGGGCUUUUAAGCCGGCGGUGAAAUGUGGGGGCUAAACCCCGCCGUGCCGUGGGAACUGGGGGCCUUGAGUGCGGCGGAGGCAUGCGGAAUGCGGGGUGUAGCGGUGAAAUGCUUAGAUAUCGCGCAGAACCCCGAUUGCGAAGGCAGCGUGCCGUGCCGCGACUGACGCUGAGGCACGAAAGCGCGGGGAUCGAACAGGAUUAGAUACCCGAGUAGUC